Tarenaya hassleriana is the source of this 2211-nucleotide RNA transcript. It is a transcript of the gene named CBL-interacting serine/threonine-protein kinase 8, with no coding region annotated. The record is from RefSeq and is a predicted model, not a curated record. The transcript is spliced from 15 exons. NCBI's taxonomy places the organism in Eukaryota, Viridiplantae, Streptophyta, Magnoliopsida, Brassicales, Cleomaceae.
AGGAAUUUUCCCAGAAAAUCUUAUUUGUAUCUGAGAAUCCCUGGGAAUAUUUUAUACCUUUCUUCCAUUUUGCGACAUUCCUAUUGAUCGAGAGCUUUCCCUUUUAGGCUGUACAACAAUCUUUCCGUCUCUAUAGCUUCAGUUUUAGUUUUUCUUUUUCUUUUGUCAAAGUCGAAGAAAGCAAAAAGCUUUCUGCUUGCCGAACUUUCUGUGAGCUUGUUUUCUCCGAGAAAAUCUCUCUCUCUCUCGGAAUGCGGAGAAAUUUAGGGAAAAGAAGGGAUUUUGGGUAGCUGAGAUGGUGGUGAGGAAGGUGGGAAAGUACGAAAUCGGUAGGACGAUCGGCGAAGGAACCUUCGCGAAGGUGAAGUUCGCGCAGAACACUGAGAGCGGAGAGAGUGUCGCCAUGAAAGUUGUCGAUCGGAGCACCAUCAUCAAGCGCAAGAUGGUCGAUCAGAUUAAGCGAGAAAUAUCAAUCAUGAAGCUUGUUCGUCAUCCUUACGUUGUUCGUCUCCACGAGGUUCUUGCAAGCCGCACUAAGAUCUAUAUAAUCCUGGAGUACAUUACAGGUGGUGAACUGUUUGAUAAAAUAGUUCGCCAUGGACGUCUUAGUGAAGCAGAAGCUCGGAAAUACUUUCAACAGCUUAUUGAUGGAGUCGAUUACUGUCACAGUAAAGGGGUUUACCACAGAGAUCUAAAGCCGGAAAAUCUUCUCCUGGAUUCCCAAGGGAAUCUAAAGAUAUCCGAUUUUGGUCUCAGUGCAUUGCCCGAGGAAGGAAUUACACUACUUAAGACAACAUGUGGAACACCGAAUUAUGUGGCUCCUGAGGUUCUCAGUCACAAGGGUUAUAAUGGCGCAGUCGCAGAUGUUUGGUCUUGUGGAGUCAUCCUCUAUGUUCUUAUGGCAGGAUUCCUUCCAUUUGAUGAACUUGAUCUCACAACUUUAUACAGUAAGAUCGAUAGAGCAGAAUUCUCUUGCCCGUCUUGGUUUCCAUUGGGAGCGAAGUCCUUGAUUCAUAGAAUUUUGGAUCCAAAUCCUCAAAUGAGAAUUACGAUUGCUGAAAUCAGAAAAGAUGAAUGGUUCCGAAAGGAUUACACUCCUGUUCAACUUCUUGAUUAUGAACAUGUCGAUCUCGAUGAUGUGUAUGCGGCUUUCGAUGAUCCUGAGGAACAGAGAACCGAUGGACAUAGCGGAAACGAGGACACUGGUCCUUUGUUUCUCAACGCCUUUGAUCUGAUCGUUCUAUCUCAGGGACUUAACCUUGCAACGUUAUUCGACCGUGGGAAGGAUUCCAUGAAGUAUCAGACUCGGUUUGUCUCUCAUAAGCCAGCAAAUGUUGUUCUAUCGAGCAUGGAAGUCGUCGCACAAUCUAUGGGUUUUAAAACACACAUUCGUAAUUACAAGAUGAGAGUGGAAGGACUGUCCAUGCGCAAGACGUCUCAUUUCUCCGUCAUCCUGGAAGUCUUCAAAGUUGCGCCGCCGUUUUUUAUGGUAGAUCUUCAGAAAGCUUCCGGAAACGAAGAUGAAUACCUCAAGUUCUACAAGACGUUUUGUAGCAACCUCGACGACAUCAUUUGGAAGCCCCCGGAUGAAUCUGGAAGAACCCGAGUCGCGAAAUCCAAGAGUAAAAGACGUUGAAAGCCUGUGCCUUUAUGCAAGGCACCUGGAGGAGUAUACUAAAAAAGACGAAAAAUGGAGACGAACGUUUCCCCGCACGAGCAAUGCCCGUCUACGAAUCUGUGAAGCCGUUUGCUGUCUCGGAUAACGAUGGUUCUACCAGUAAGCAUCGACACCAUCUUCAUAAAACUAUGGCUAUCACUGCACAUGUUCACGCUUUUCACGAUCCUUAUUACCGCAGCCUCUGGUGUGGAUAACAGUCCUAACCCGAGAGCCAACUUCUCGCUGUCAUAUACGACGGCAGAAGUGGAGAUCUUCCUCUCGUUCUCGCCUUCGACUGUCUCUAGCUCAUUUACCCGCUGAAUCUCGGGUCCAUUCGUCUGGGCCUUCUCUAAGCAUUUGUAUAUCUCCUCGCUCCGAGAAUGCGUCCGAUCAUCGGGUCUGAACGAAUGAACCUUGUCUUUGACGGUGAUCCAACUCCAAUUCUCUUUCGUUGCGACGUUCUCAUCGUUGAUCAGUGCCUCCAAUCUCGAGACCUCUUCAAGCUUUUCGGCCGAUAAAUAUGUGUUCAAUAACAAGGCGUACGUUUCGGGCUC